AGGACGAACGCUGGCGGCGUGGAUUAGGCAUGCAAGUCGCGCGACGGACCUUCGGGUUACGGAGCGGCGAACGGGUGAGUAACACGUGAACAAUCUGUCCCUACAUUCCGGAUAAUUGGCCGAAAGGCCUUGUAAUACGGGCGAGGAUGGUGGUGAGGCAUCUCACUAUCAGGGAAGGUGCAACGCAAGUUGUGCCGUGCGAGGGAGGGGUUCGCGGCCUAUCA
Molecule: ribosomal RNA, 224 nt
Filed under: uncultured soil bacterium
Lineage: Bacteria
Description: partial 16S ribosomal RNA
Rfam family: Bacterial small subunit ribosomal RNA
Source: RNAcentral